RNAcentral lists this ribosomal RNA (433 nucleotides) under uncultured soil bacterium. RNAcentral describes it as "bacterial SSU rRNA". It matches the Rfam family "Bacterial small subunit ribosomal RNA", at positions 26 to 457 of the family's 1533-position model. The record is from RNAcentral.
AGGAUGAACGCUAGCGGCAGGCCUAAUACAUGCAAGUCGAACGCGAUUGGGGAGCUUGCUCCCCAUGAGAGUGGCGUACGGGUGCGUAACGCGUGAGCAACCUACCAUUGUCUGGGGGAUAGCCCGAAGAAAUUCGGAUUAAUACCGCAUAACAUCAUUGAACAGCAUUGUUAAUGAUCAAACAUUUAUGGGACAACGAUGGGCUCGCGUGACAUUAGCUAGUUGGAGUGGUAGCGGCACACCAAGGCUACGAUGUCUAGGGGAUCUGAGAGGAUGACCCGCCACACUGGGACUGAGACACGGCCCAGACUCCGUACGGGAGGCAGCAGGUGGGGAAUAGUUGCACAAUGGCGAAAGCCUGAUGCAGCGACGCCGCGUGAGGAUGACGGCCGUUUCGGUUACGUUAAACCGUCGUUUCGGACGUAGGGACGAA